CUACUGUUCAUUCCUCCUGGAGUGUGUAGCAAUAAGGUACCAUCCUCAAGGCAGAAACUGAGCUCUCACCGUACACUGAACCUGACAGUGCCUUGAUUUUGGACUUCACAGCCUCCAGAACUAUGAGAAAAAAAAAUUUUUUCUAUUGUUUUAAAUUACCCAGCCCCAGGUAUUUUUGUUAUAAUGGCAUGACUGAUCUAAGACAGCAAGGUGCAUCUAACUGAUCAAAUCAUAGCAGCAAAACGUAGAGCAUUGCACAUAGUAGGUCUUCAACCAUAAAGGGAGGGAUUAAUUAUUUAGCACCCAUUUAGCAGAGCACUGUCCCAGGAAUGGUGCAUAAUAAUGAGAAAAACAAGUUUCUACUCCUAAAAUGCUUGCGAUUCCAGUGUCAGAAACGAGAACUGAAAACACAAUGAGAAAACUUUUAGACUGAUAUAAUUUCCCAGAAGGAGCUUCAGGAACACAUAUAAAAAAGCAACUAAUGGUCUGGGUGGGAGUGGGGAGAAGGAUGCUUCUGAAAGCAAGGAACAUAGUAUUUUCACUCAAUAAUAGUCUGCACAAAAUAAAUAGGUAACAAAGAUCAAAAAAUUACUUUUGAUGGCCAGUGAAGUGGAAUUAAAAGAAUUAUAUUCAUUGAUGGGUACAGAACACUCAGUGCCUUCUAACUCCAAGUCCUCUACCUUUCCACCAUAUAAUGCAAUAUCUUAUUAUUUAAAAAAAAUAAAAGCACACAUAUUUAUUUAAAAAUUGGACACACAGUUGAACCACUAGGGAACAGAACUGGAGAAAGAGAUGUUUCUCCUUUAGUUUCUGACUCAUCUUUCCUGUAGCUCUUGUUCUUGGGCUCAGCUCUGACAUUUAACUUCUGAUUGCACAAGUGGGCUGUGGUUUGUCUGCUUUUGAGGGAAUUUAGAUUGAGAAAGAAUGUGGGAGAGACCUUUUGUCUCUAACCCCGGGACGGAUGGAAGAGCAGCUGUGUGGAGAAGUAGACAGGGAAGGAUUAUUUAUUAUGGAUUUAUUAUUAUUUAUUAUUAUUGUGAAAUAGGUUAAACGAGGUCUGAUGACUACCCACCUUCUCAUCAUUGCUACACUUUCCUGCUCAGAACUUUCCGACUCCCUCUGACCCUCUCUCUGCAAAGGACAGGUCUGAAGAUAUGUAAGUAGUUACAAAUUAUGGGGAUUCAUUUUGCUUCUCCAUUUGACCAGAUUCAGGGAUGUCUGGAAAAUUGGUAAAGCCCCAUGUCCUCAUGUGUCUAGAAGGGUGUUUAUAGAGCAGAUUGGCCUGUCUGUGAGCCGAGUGGGGAAGACCUACUCUAGUGUCACCACUCAGUAGGCUGGGAGCCCAGAUGGAAGCAAAAAGCAGAAGGGGAGACUGACUCAUUGUUUUCUCUUUCUCUCUCUCUCUCCUCCAGCAGGUUCAUUUCUUCCUGCUGCUGCCCUUGGACAUCAGACUCCAGGUUUUUCGGCCUUUGGAUUCAGACCGAAUCAUUGGCCUUAUUUCUCCUUCUGAGGUUCAGCUUGUUGGCCUGAGCAGCUCCAGGCUUUCCUGACUCCCCAACCUAUGGACAACUACCACGGGACUCUUCCGCCUCUGUGUGAG
RNAcentral lists this long non-coding RNA (1600 nucleotides) under Marmota monax (woodchuck). Lineage: Eukaryota; Metazoa; Chordata; Mammalia; Rodentia; Sciuridae. The record is from RNAcentral.